ACGGAAGGCAGCAGUGGGGAAUAUUGGGCAAUGGGGGGAACCCUGACCCAGCAACGCCGCGUGAAGGAAGAAGGCCCUCGGGUUGUAAACUUCUUUUACCAGGGACGAAUAAAUGACGGUACCUGGAGAAAAAGCAACGGCUAACUACGUGCCAGCAGCCGCGGUAAUACGUAGGUUGCAAGCGUUGUCCGGAAUUACUGGGUGUAAAGGGAGUGUAGGCGGGACUGUAAGUCAGAUGUGAAAUAUGCCGGCUCAACUGGCAGACUGCAUUUGAAACUGCGGUUCUUGAGUGAAGUAGAGGUAAGCGGAAUUCCUAGUGUAGCGGUGAAAUGCGUAGAUAUUAGGAGGAACAUCAGUGGCGAAGGCGGCUUACUGGGCUUUAACUGACGCUGAGGCUCGAAAGCGUGGGGAGCAAACAGGAUUAGAUACCCUGGUA
RNAcentral lists this ribosomal RNA (436 nucleotides) under uncultured Oscillospiraceae bacterium. RNAcentral describes it as "bacterial SSU rRNA". It matches the Rfam family "Bacterial small subunit ribosomal RNA", at positions 341 to 792 of the family's 1533-position model. Lineage: Bacteria; Bacillati; Bacillota; Clostridia; Eubacteriales; Oscillospiraceae. The record is from RNAcentral.